Molecule: non-coding RNA, 144 nt
Organism: Gossypium hirsutum (cotton)
Lineage: Eukaryota; Viridiplantae; Streptophyta; Magnoliopsida; Malvales; Malvaceae
Source: Rfam
UGUUAAAAAUUUCAUCCACUUGUACUAUUAAAAACUGGGAUAGCUUAUGAAAUAACCUGACAGUAAUACAUGGUGUGCCACAUGUAUCUCAUGUUGAUGUAUAAGGACUAGUUUUUAAUAGUAAAAAUGGAGAAAGUUUAAAUA